GCCCAACUCAGAUAUUCGCAAAUUGUGUACUGUACACUGUGGGAGGAAUGUAAACAAAUCCAGUGCCCCCACAGCAGUUGAAGAGAAAGGAUUAAACACUGAUAAACAGAGUGAUGUUACAAUCAAAAACAAAAGAAACUAGUUAAUAUAUUAAGUUAGUGCGGAUAAAAAUUAGUUAUUUAAAUAUGAUUUUGGGAUUUCAGAUCAAUAUGGAAAAUUUAAUCAUGCUCAGUGAGAUUUGUUCAACUAUAAAGGAGAAGCAAGGAACAUAUGAGUGCGGACAAUUCAGCACAAAUAAAGUCCUCUAAACAGGCACUUAUAUAUGUAUGUGGAUUUAUUGCCAAAAAACUCAGCACAAAAGUUCCAGGCCUUGUCAGAGGCAGUGAGGAUAAAACAAACUGUGAUUGGAUAGACU
RNAcentral lists this long non-coding RNA (415 nucleotides) under Eurytemora carolleeae. RNAcentral's name for it is "uncharacterized LOC111717015". Lineage: Eukaryota; Metazoa; Arthropoda; Copepoda; Calanoida; Temoridae. The record is from RNAcentral.